This 32-nucleotide non-coding RNA is filed under the name Mus musculus (house mouse). Lineage: Eukaryota; Metazoa; Chordata; Mammalia; Rodentia; Muridae. The record is from RNAcentral.
CAGACUGACCCUAGCCACUAAUAAGGGCCUUU